UAUUGGGCAAUGGGCGCAAGCCUGACCCAGCAACGCCGCGUGAAGGAAGAAGGCUUUCGGGUUGUAAACUUCUUUUCAGAGGGAAGAGCAGAAGACGGUACCUCUUGAAUAAGCCACGGCUAACUCCGUGCCCGCAGCCGCGGUAAUACGUAGGUGGCAAGCGUUUUCCGGAUUUACUGGGUGUAAAGGGCGUGUAGCCGGGCUGACAAGUCAGAUGUGAAAUUCCGGGGCUCAACCCCGGACCUGCAUUUGAAACUGUUGGUCUUGAGUAUCGGAGAGGCAGGCGGAAUUCCUAGUAUAGCGGUGAAAUGCGUAGAUAUUAGGAGGAACACCAGUGGCGAAGGCGGCCUGCUGGACGACAACUGACGGUGAGGCGCGAAAGCGUGGGGAGCAAACAGG
RNAcentral lists this ribosomal RNA (399 nucleotides) under uncultured bacterium. RNAcentral's name for it is "bacterial SSU rRNA". It matches the Rfam family "Bacterial small subunit ribosomal RNA", at positions 362 to 776 of the family's 1533-position model. The record is from RNAcentral.